RNAcentral lists this long non-coding RNA (660 nucleotides) under Elaeis guineensis (African oil palm). RNAcentral describes it as "long non-coding RNA (EGUI_LNC039910)". The record is from RNAcentral. Lineage: Eukaryota; Viridiplantae; Streptophyta; Magnoliopsida; Arecales; Arecaceae.
GAUAUAUUCAUAAAAUAUGAUAUUUGAAAAUAAAUAUCAAAAAUAAAUAUAAGAAUAUAUUUCAUACUAAUUCAAUGCAAAUAAAAUCUUUUCUCAUAUAGAUAUAUAAUUAAAAAUCUAAUUCAAAAUAAAUCACAUAUAACUCAACAGUUUUAACCAUGACCACACUUAUUCCUAUGGCAGGGUCUAUAAUAGAGUGCCAAGAUAUAAUCUCCAUUGAUAGUAUCUAAAAAUGAAUGCAUAACUUCCAUUGGCAAGGUCCAAAAAUAAAUACACAACUUCCAUUAAUAGGGUUCAAAAAUUAACAUAUAACCCGCAUCGGUAGGAUCCAAAAAUCAAUCAUAACCUCCAUUGGCAAGGUUCAGAGCACAGUUAGGUUAAGAGCAUGAAUCCGAUCUGUAUCAAAGUAUUUUUGUAAAAUAACAUAUAUAUUAUAAUUUCAGUCCACAUAUGCAUGUUUCAUAACCAAUCAGUAAAUCAUAAUAUUCUAGGAAUCUCAAAUUUGUAAAUCACUUUUCAUUCAAAAUAUAGUUUUAUAAAUCAUGCAUAAAUCAAAGACUAAUUAUUUAUUUUCAAAAUAAAUUAUAAAAUAUAUUAAGGAGAUUGUUUAUUAGUUACCUUAUGUAGAAUACUGAAUCAAUCUGUCGAUUAACUUUGAGG